UUUCUUUUAUGGAGAGUUUGAUCCUGGCUCAGGACGAACGCUGGCGGCGUGCCUAAUACAU
This 61-nucleotide ribosomal RNA is filed under the name Lysinibacillus composti. RNAcentral's name for it is "partial 16S ribosomal RNA". Lineage: Bacteria; Bacillati; Bacillota; Bacilli; Caryophanales; Bacillaceae. The record is from RNAcentral.